CCCAAAUGGUAGUUGGGAGCAGUUAGGGGGAUUCUGAACGUUGGGGAAUAGGUCGCGGUUGGUCAGAGAACCGCGGCCUAUUCCCUUAUCACAGUAAAUUUUAUAAAUUUCAAAGCAUAUGCCGCGGUUGGGCGCUGAACCGCGGCAUAUAAGUUAAAAAAUUUUCAAAAAUGCCAUUUUGGAUAAAUUUUUUUUAAAUGAAUAGGCUGCGGUUCAGUGUAGAACCGCGGCAUAAAGGGGGAAUAUGCCGUGGUUAAGUGUAGAACCGCGACAGAUUCCCUUCUAAAGGUUAAAAAACAAAAUCUCUGAACAGUUUUCUUCUUCACGCGAACCUGAAAACCUUCGUCUCCAUCUCCACCGCGAUCGAGUUGCGACUUUCUUUCGUCAUUGUGCUUGCAUUGCUCCGACCGCCAUUCUUCUCCACCGGCCUUGCUUCUCUGCCGCACCGUUGCUUCUCUAUUGCGCCGUUCUUCUCCUGCAAGCUAACCAACCUGGUUUGAUUUCUCCUACGCCCUUCUUAUGCUUUUAUGCGAUUCCUUUUAAAUUUUGUUGUGCUUUUGUUGUUUUAUAUGCUUGUGAUCCUCAAAUUAAGGUCGGUGAUAUAUUGUGCUUUUGUUGUUUUAUAUGCUUGUGUUUUCAUUUUUGUGUAUAUUGUUGCC
Molecule: long non-coding RNA, 659 nt
Filed under: Vigna radiata
Lineage: Eukaryota; Viridiplantae; Streptophyta; Magnoliopsida; Fabales; Fabaceae
Description: long non-coding RNA (VRAD_LNC003444)
Source: RNAcentral